AGAUGUGAAGAAUAAAAUUGAAGGAACUGGCUAUGGUAAUCCUGGAGAAAAGAGGAAUUCGAUGGAGGUUCCUAAGAGGAGCUCAUGAAUUGGAGGAAAAAGCUACAGGAGUAGAGAUAUCUCCAGUGUGAGGAACCAGCUGGAGGGAGAGAUUAAGUUGCUGUGCCUGGUUAGAGGCAAGGAAGCUGAAGCUCUAAAGUUUCAAGUGACCUGCCUAGUUCCACAGCUAGCAAGUGCUGGAAGCAUGAUUUGAAUCCAGAUCUUCCUGAAUCUAGGGAAGUCAAAAAUUCUAUGUACUAUGGCAUACAUGGUCGGCAAGGUUAGUGCUAAAUUUGGAGAAAGGAAU
RNAcentral lists this long non-coding RNA (346 nucleotides) under Monodelphis domestica (gray short-tailed opossum). Its description in RNAcentral is "lncRNA (ENSMODG00000042673.1)". Lineage: Eukaryota; Metazoa; Chordata; Mammalia; Didelphimorphia; Didelphidae. The record is from RNAcentral.